AAGAGGUAGUCUGGGUGUAUGUGGACUGCUUGUGCGGGUGGCAGUAUCAUAGCGAGCAGGCAUUUGAUGACCUGUGGUAGCUCUGCAUCUGUUAUUUCCUCCGGGAGCCCCCUAACUUUCAGGUUUUUAUGCCGUCUGGCGUCUUCGUGCUCGGCCAUGCGGUAUUCGUGGGAACGUUGCUGUAGCUGCAGAUCCUGCACAGUACGUUUGAGUUCCC
Molecule: non-coding RNA, 217 nt
Organism: Pelobates cultripes (western spadefoot toad)
Lineage: Eukaryota; Metazoa; Chordata; Amphibia; Anura; Pelobatidae
Source: the annotation of a GenBank genome assembly